This 71-nucleotide transfer RNA is filed under the name Ovis aries (sheep). It matches the Rfam family "tRNA". From Rfam's summary of the family: Transfer RNA (tRNA) molecules are approximately 80 nucleotides in length. The record is from Rfam by way of RNAcentral. Lineage: Eukaryota; Metazoa; Chordata; Mammalia; Artiodactyla; Bovidae.
UCCCUGGUGGUCCAGUUUUAAGAUGCUGCAUUUCCAAUGCAGGGGCACAGGUUCAAUCCCUGGUUGGGGAA